Non-coding RNA from Phalacrocorax carbo (great cormorant), 376 nucleotides. The record is from RefSeq and is a predicted model, not a curated record. NCBI's taxonomy places the organism in Eukaryota, Metazoa, Chordata, Aves, Suliformes, Phalacrocoracidae.
GCCGCUAACCCUCCCCUCCGCCCCAAGGUGCGCGUCGCUGCCGCUGCCCUGUCCCGCCCCGCCCCGUCCCGUCCCGUCCCGUCCCGUCCCACCGGCGGGGGCGAUGCGCUCCGCGCCGCCGGCCCUUCCUCCCUUUUAAUUUCCUCUUAGACGGUUUGCCUGGCGCAGGAUCCCCGCUCCGGAUAGCCUUGCCUCCUGCCUCCCCGGCGGCAGCGCCGAGCCUCGGCCGUGCGCUCCAGCACUGAAUUUCCUCCGAGCCUUCCUGCCCAUAGUGUGCUAUUGAUUGCUGAGCUGAUCUUCCUCCUGAAAUCAUUAAAGCUUAAAAAAUUGAUGGCACAGUAGAGCCCUUUAUUAGCUAUAUAAAUUUUCUGCCUUU